AAUGUGUAUUUUAUUCAUUAUUCCAUUUUCUUCUUUUGUUCAACAAUAUUUACCUGUUAUUGUUGUGAAUUUGACAUGAUUCAUCCGGUUAACAAGAUAGUGAUGAAACUUGUGAGCUUUGAUCAUUAGCUAGAUCUACUAACACCAAAUGAGAUAGUUUUUAGAGUCAGGUGUCUUAAAAAAAACUAUGUAUGCAAAGAGAAUGAGGGCAGUGUCAUCGACGACACCAGUGGUGGCAUGGCUACGAGCACUGCAUAUGAAUCUUGAGACGAUAUAUGAAUCUUGAUACCAUGUUGGAAGGAUUAAUAUUGUUCACGAUUCUCUUGGAAUCUAUGAAAAAUUAUGUUAUUGAUUUAUUGAAUCAUUACAAUUGAGUUAGAUCUAUUUAUAGAUAUUUCUAAUAAUCUGUUGUAGGCUUGUAGCAGGGCGGGGCUUGGGACUGACUGGCAUAUGUUAGCCUGUUUGUCAGGUUAUGCAUAAAUGUUUCUAACUAUGUUAGAUAUUUAGUUCCACUGAUGCGUAAUGAUGCGAUUACAUCUCGAUUGUGGUUGCAACAGCUGCCACCAUAAAAUGCCAUACACCGGUGAUUGGAUUACACCGCAAUUCUGCACUAGCUGCACGAUUGACAACCCAGUUUCAAGUUAACAAUGAUUAAUGACAAACUUUCUCGAUGUAUUCAAGGUGACACGGUUUUUUUCUCCUGCCAAUGGGGAAAGAAGAAUAUGCAAUUUGCAGUUCAUUAUCCUAGAAGAGAAAGGCAAAAUACUUUAGGUUGCCAAUGUCAUGGAUGUCUUGAUGUCACCACAACAAUCUCAACUGGAUACUGAUGAUCCAACUGCAAGCUACAUGUUACAAGUAUAAUCUUUUUUUUCCUUCCAUGCCCUAUCUGUUCAGGUUUACUUGCCCUGUCUGUUCUAGAGUUUACUUAUUUUCCUCUCUCGAUUAUAGAUAAUUUGACAGAGGCACUUUUGUUCUUGUCUCAUUUUGUCGGGGAUGUACAUCUGAUUUGUUCUUUCUGGUUCCUAUUCGAAAUCUAAUGAACAAUUGAAUGAAUACUUGAUUUAUGUAUACCAAUAUAGAGGUGCCAUAUAUUGGGCUUUAUUACGGAA
Molecule: long non-coding RNA, 1109 nt
Organism: Vicia villosa (hairy vetch)
Lineage: Eukaryota; Viridiplantae; Streptophyta; Magnoliopsida; Fabales; Fabaceae
Exons: 2
Source: RefSeq, a predicted model, not a curated record